AUUGAACGCUGGCGGCAGGCCUAACACAUGCAAGUCGAGCGGAUGAAGGGAGCUUGCUCCUGGAUUCAGCGGCGGACGGGUGAGUAAUGCCUAGGAAUCUGCCUGGUAGUGGGGGAUAACGUCCGGAAACGGGCGCUAAUACCGCAUACGUCCUGAGGGAGAAAGUGGGGGAUCUUCGGACCUCACGCUAUCAGAUGAGCCUAGGUCGGAUUAGCUAGUUGGUGGGGUAAAGGCCUACCAAGGCGACGAUCCGUAACUGGUCUGAGAGGAUGAUCAGUCACACUGGAACUGAGACACGGUCCAGACUCCUACGGGAGGCAGCAGUGGGGAAUAUUGGACAAUGGGCGAAAGCCUGAUCCAGCCAAGCCGCGUGUGUGAAGAAGGUCUUCGGAUUGUAAAGCACUUUAAGUUGGGAGGAAGGGCAGUAAGUUAAUACCUGGCUGUUUUGACGUUACCAACAGAAUAAGAACAGGCUAACUUCGUG
Molecule: ribosomal RNA, 484 nt
Filed under: uncultured bacterium
Lineage: Bacteria
Description: partial 16S ribosomal RNA
Rfam family: Bacterial small subunit ribosomal RNA
Source: RNAcentral